This 440-nucleotide ribosomal RNA is filed under the name uncultured bacterium. Its description in RNAcentral is "partial 16S ribosomal RNA". It matches the Rfam family "Bacterial small subunit ribosomal RNA", at positions 338 to 795 of the family's 1533-position model. The record is from RNAcentral.
CCUACGGGAGGCAGCAGUGGGGAAUAUUGCACAAUGGGGGAAACCCUGAUGCAGCGACGCCGCGUGAGCGAAGAAGUAUUUCGUUAUGUAAAGCUCUAUCAGCAGGGAAGAAAAUGACGGUACCUGACUAAGAAGCCCCGGCUAACUACGUGCCAGCAGCCGCGGUAAUACGUAGGGGGCAAGCGUUAUCCGGAUUUACUGGGUGUAAAGGGAGCGUAGACGGCUGUGCAAGUCAGGGGUGAAAGGCGGGGGCUCAACCCCGGGACUGCUCUGGAAACUGUGCGGCUGGAGUGCAGGAGAGGUAAGUGGAAUUCCUAGUGUAGCGGUGAAAUGCGUAGAUAUUAGGAGGAACACCAGUGGCGAAGGCGGCUUACUGGACUAUAACUGACGUUGAGGCUCGAAAGCGUGGGGAGCAAACAGGAUUAGAUACCCGUGUAGUC